Molecule: long non-coding RNA, 1182 nt
Organism: Zea mays
Lineage: Eukaryota; Viridiplantae; Streptophyta; Magnoliopsida; Poales; Poaceae
Exons: 2
Source: RefSeq, a predicted model, not a curated record
GAUGCUCGCUACGACCGGCGCGUGUAGACGCCGUGGAGCGCGUCGCCCAUGCCCACCCCUAGGCACGAUGACACACCGCCGUCGUUGGAUCUCUACGCGGUAGAUCCACUCUGGUUCCCCUCGUCACCGUCGCCACGUCUCCACCACGACUACGACAAGGACGACCGCUAGGGCCUGCCUUGCCUAGCGGGCGAGGGGUGCCCCUGUCCCCAUCCCCUUCCUCUCUCCACCCCACCUGGCGUCAUCUCCUGAUCGCGAGAUCCGCUCGCUCGCCCACCCGCCCCAUGGCACCUCAUGGCCGCUCAAGCGAGGAUCCACCUGUCGGGCGUCUUCCCGACCCACGGCAAUCGUGCAUCACCAUGCGCCGUUGAAGGAUCCAUCCUUCGACCUACGCUUAUCUAACGCCUCGAUCUCCUCCAUCCCAUUGCCUCACUGCCGUGACGAGACAACCACAUACCUACAAAUACGGGAGUUGCUCCAACAAUGGGGUCGAGAGGAGGACGAGGAUCUCCAGAUGGCGCUCCGCAUGAGCCUCCAGGGCUCCCCACGUCGUUCAGCCCUCACCAUUGUGAAGUGUCAGGAGCUCUCCAAACAGCUCUUCUACACAUGCCUCGCAAGGACGAGGUCCUUUAUACCAUCGUCCCUGCUAGCGAGACAGGAGGUCCCAGUGGAGCGGCUAAAGCCGAGGGUCGAGGCACAGGAGAGAGGGAACUAGGCUCUCAAGUAAAAGUACCCGAUCGGACUAAACCCGCAAGAGAAGGUGAAGCUGGAGAAGGAGCACAUGUGGUUGUUCAUGGAUGACAGCAUCAAGGACCUCGCCAACAUUUCCAUGGAGUAGAUCAACGCCACCGAGCUCACCAAGAACGAUGUCGACAUCCGGUUCAAGUGUACAUCCACUCUGCGCCUGCUGCAAUGCUGAUUUAAUUGUUGCUCUUAACACAGCCAUUUGCGAUUCAGUUUUUGACAACUCUGAUAUUUAGUCCUUGAUGCACUAUUAGAUGAUUGUGUCGUGGUAUUUGAGAUAUGUGAGCCUCAUGAUGCAGUAUAGUUGCAGGAACCUGCUAACACAGCUUCACUUCUAACUCCCUCUCACUGUAUUUCCCUUUCUUUGUAGCUAUAGCCUUUUACCAAACUUGUCACUCAUUGGAAAUUUGGCCUACAACAUGAAUAACUUGGGUUCAA